UAGCAUAUCAAUAAGCGGAGGAAAAGAAACCAACAGGGAUUGCCUUAGUAACGGCGAGUGAAGCGGCAACAGCUCAAAUUUGAAAGCUGGCUCCUUCGGAGUCCGCGUUGUAAUUUGUAGAGGAUGAUUCGGCGAGGGCUCCCGCCUAAGUCCCCUGGAACGGGGCGUCAUAGAGGGUGAGAAUCCCGUAUGCGGUGGGUUGCCUUAGCCAUGUGAAUCUCCUUCGACGAGUCGAGUUGUUUGGGAAUGCAGCUCUAAAUGGGAGGUAAAUUUCUUCUAAAGCUAAAUACCGGCCAGAGACCGAUAGCGCACAAGUAGAGUGAUCGAAAGAUGAAAAGCACUUUGGAAAGAGAGUUAAAAAGUACGUGAAAUUGUUGAAAGGGAAGCGCUUGCAGCCAGACUUGUCCGCAGUUGCUCAACCGGUCUCCUGACCGGUGUACUCUUCUGCGGCCAGGCCAGCAUCAGUUCGGGCGGUCGGAUAAAGGCCCUGGGAAUGUAGCUCCUCUCGGGGAGUGUUAUAGCCCAGGGUGGAAUGCGGCCAGCCUGGACUGAGGAUCUCGCUUCGGCUAGGAUGCUGGCGUAAUGGCUGUAAGCGGCCCGUCUUGAAACACGGACCAAGGAGUCUAACAUCUAUGCGAGUGUUUGGGUGUCAAACCCAUGCGCGUAAUGAAAGUGAACGGAGGUGGGAACCCUCACGGGUGCACCAUCGACCGAUCCUGAUGUCUUCGGAUGGAUUUGAGUAAGAGCAUAGCUGUUGGGACCCGAAAGAUGGUGAACUAUGCCUGAAUAGGGUGAAGCCAGAGGAAACUCUGGUGGAGGCUCGCAGCGGUUCUGACGUGCAAAUCGAUCGUCAAAUUUGGGUAUAGGGGCGAAAGACUAAUCGAACCAUCUAGUAGCUGGUUCUGCGA
Molecule: ribosomal RNA, 908 nt
Filed under: Macrophomina phaseolina
Lineage: Eukaryota; Fungi; Ascomycota; Dothideomycetes; Botryosphaeriales; Botryosphaeriaceae
Description: LSU rRNA
Rfam family: Eukaryotic large subunit ribosomal RNA
Source: RNAcentral